CGCGCACCCGUGCUGCUCCUUCUCCCCUGCCCACGCACCCGUGCGGCUGCUUCUCCCCUGUCGCCGGUGGUUUCUGCCCGUGCUGCUGCUGCUCCCCUGACCCUGCCCGUACUGCUGCUGCUCCACUGACCCUGCCCGUGCUGCUGCUGCUCCACUGAGCUGCCUGUGCUGCUGCUCCUUGACCCUGCCCGUGCUGCUGUUGCUCUACUCUGCACCCUGAAGAAGAGAUUAUCUAAUCAAUAAGGUUAUCCCGGCAAUUCAGGAUAAGUGGCCUGAGGAUGACGAGGGAGCAACAAUAUUCAUCCAACAGGAUAAUGCAAAGCCCCAUGUCCUUCCCAAUGAUGUAGCUUUUCGAGAAGCUGUGGAACAAACUCAUCUUGACAUCCGAUUGCUACAACAGCCGCCAAAUAGCCCUGAGUUAAAUUGUUUGGACCUCUGCUUCCAUACCUCUCUCCAGUCUCUAACCGACUGCAGGUCACCCACAAACAUCCAAAAACUGGUACAAGGUGUGGAAGAGGAAUUCGAGAACUACGAUCCCGACAAGUUGCACAGAAGCUUUAUCACAUUAGAAGCAGUUAUGUUUGAAGUUAUGAAAGACAAAGGAGGAAAUCAAUAUAAGUUGCCCCACUUGCACAAGGAUCGCAUUCAGAAUGCUGGCAGGGAAAUCAUCAGUGUAUAUUGCGACAGUCGGGUAGUUGUUGAUACUAGGGCCAUUAUAGAAGAAAUGGAAAUUGCAUUAGGAAAAGAAAAUGAUAGGAAAGAAUUGGCUAAAGAAGGGAGAAGAAAGAAAAGUAAAGGGAAGGGAAGGGAAGAAGUGGCCAGAGAAAGGAAAAGAAUGUAGUCAAGAGGGGGCAAAGAGGCCCUUAUGUCAUGUAGUCAGGUGCUCCUUGUGUAUGUCUUGUGUAAUCUUGUGUCAAGAGGGGACAAAGAUGCCCUUAUGUCAUGUGUAAUCUUGUGUCAAGAGGGGACAAAGAGGACCUUAUGUCAUGCCCUUGUGUAUGCCUUGUCUAAUCCUUGUAUAUAAACUCCUUGUUGGAAUUUAUUGGAAUUUGGGUUAUUUGGAAUUUGAAUUGAUUUGGAUUAAUUUUA
Long non-coding RNA from Triticum aestivum (bread wheat), 1089 nucleotides. RefSeq lists it as uncharacterized. The record is from RefSeq and is a predicted model, not a curated record. Lineage: Eukaryota; Viridiplantae; Streptophyta; Magnoliopsida; Poales; Poaceae. The transcript is spliced from 2 exons.